Molecule: small RNA, 900 nt
Filed under: Neocucurbitaria keratinophila
Lineage: Eukaryota; Fungi; Ascomycota; Dothideomycetes; Pleosporales; Cucurbitariaceae
Description: eukaryotic LSU rRNA
Rfam family: Eukaryotic large subunit ribosomal RNA
Source: RNAcentral
GCGGAGGAAAAGAAACCAACAGGGAUUGCCCUAGUAACGGCGAGUGAAGCGGCAUCAGCUCAAAUUUGAAAUCUGGCUCUUUCAGGGUCCGAGUUGUAAUUUGCAGAGGGCGCUUUGGCGUUGGCAGCGGUCCAAGUUCCUUGGAACAGGACGUCACAGAGGGUGAGAAUCCCGUACGUGGUCGCUGGCCUUCGCCGUGUAAAGCCCCUUCGACGAGUCGAGUUGUUUGGGAAUGCAGCUCUAAAUGGGAGGUAAAUUUCUUCUAAAGCUAAAUACUGGCCAGAGACCGAUAGCGCACAAGUAGAGUGAUCGAAAGAUGAAAAGCACUUUGGAAAGAGAGUCAAAUAGCACGUGAAAUUGUUGAAAGGGAAGCGCUUGCAGCCAGACUUGCCUGUAGUUGCUCAUCCGGGCUUUUGCCCGGUGCACUCUUCUGCGGGCAGGCCAGCAUCAGUCUGGGCGGUUGGAUAAAGGCCUCUGUCAUGUACCUCCUCUCGGGGAGGCCUUAUAGGGGAGGCGUAAUGCAACCAGCCUGGACUGAGGUCCGCGCAUCUGCUAGGAUGCUGGCGUAAUGGCUGUAAGCGGCCCGUCUUGAAACACGGACCAAGGAGUCUAACAUCUAUGCGAGUGUUUGGGUGUCAAGCCCGAGCGCGUAAUGAAAGUGAACGGAGGUGGGAUCCCUUUAGGGUGCACCAUCGACCGAUCCUGAUGUCUUCGGAUGGAUUUGAGUAAGAGCAUGGCUGUUGGGACCCGAAAGAUGGUGAACUAUGCUUGAAUAGGGUGAAGCCAGAGGAAACUCUGGUGGAGGCUCGCAGCGGUUCUGACGUGCAAAUCGAUCGUCAAAUUUGGGCAUAGGGGCGAAAGACUAAUCGAACUAUCUAGUAGCUGGUUCCUGCCGAAGUU